GUAUGUAUUACAAAAAAAUUCCACCAGAGCUCCAGUGUCCUCUCUUUCACCCAAUUCACUGCGGAUGGUUGCUACUGCUAUGCAUUGUCUUCGAUUGACUUUUGAUUCCGAUGACUCCAUCGAUCUUCAGAUUUUGGAGCAGCUGGAGAAAGUAACAAGCAAAAGUUGAUUAAGGACAGUGAUCCAUUAUGAAAAGAGCUAUGGCUAGAAUGCGAAAACCGCUUUUACCAAAAUUUGAUUUGAAACGUCAUGCAUUUUCUUAAUCUAUAAUGUUGCAGUGGAUGUCACAAAGUUAAACAGAAACACCCACGAUCAGGUUAUGUUGGAAUUUAGCCCUUGAAUGCAAGGAUGACACACACAAAUCGAGAAAUGGUUCAAUUUUUAUGCCUGGUGCUUGCCUCGAGUUCAGCACAUUGAAGCGCUAGAUACACCAUUUUCAGGGCCUUCCAUUGUUCUUCUAUGUACC
Molecule: long non-coding RNA, 466 nt
Organism: Solanum tuberosum (potato)
Lineage: Eukaryota; Viridiplantae; Streptophyta; Magnoliopsida; Solanales; Solanaceae
Exons: 3
Source: RefSeq, a predicted model, not a curated record